GGGGUUGUGGCUCAGAGGUAGAGUGCUCGCCUAGCACGUGUGAGGCACUGAGUUCAAUCCUUAGCACUACA
Molecule: transfer RNA, 71 nt
Filed under: Marmota monax (woodchuck)
Lineage: Eukaryota; Metazoa; Chordata; Mammalia; Rodentia; Sciuridae
Description: tRNA.Ala
Rfam family: tRNA (bases 6-66)
About the family: Transfer RNA (tRNA) molecules are approximately 80 nucleotides in length. Their secondary structure includes four short double-helical elements and three loops (D, anti-codon, and T loops). Further hydrogen bonds mediate the characteristic L-shaped molecular structure. tRNAs have two regions of fundamental functional importance: the anti-codon, which is responsible for specific mRNA codon recognition, and the 3' end, to which the tRNAs corresponding amino acid is attached (by aminoacyl-tRNA synthetases). tRNAs cope with the degeneracy of the genetic code in two manners: having more than one tRNA (with a specific anti-codon) for a particular amino acid; and 'wobble' base-pairing, i.e. permitting non-standard base-pairing at the 3rd anti-codon position.
Source: RNAcentral